ACACUCUCAACUCUCAUGGUUUGCCGUGAUGAGCUUGGACCUUUGGAGGUUUUGCUGGCCUGCAGUCAGCUCCUCUCAAACAGAUCAGCUUGCCAGUGUUUGGUGGCGUCACAGGUGUGAUAACUAUCUACGCUUGUCGUCGUCUGCCAAGUAACCUUUGGUGACAGAGGUUUGCUGGAGCUUAUAAACGUCUCCCCUCAGCGAAGACAGCUUUUGAACGU
This 221-nucleotide unclassified non-coding RNA is filed under the name uncultured Tomentella. RNAcentral's name for it is "sequence contains ITS2". Lineage: Eukaryota; Fungi; Basidiomycota; Agaricomycetes; Thelephorales; Thelephoraceae. The record is from RNAcentral.